UACGGAGGAUGCAAGCGUUAUCCGGAUUUAUUGGGUUUAAAGGGUGCGUAGGCGGAUUAAUAAGUCAGCGGUGAAACCUUCAGCUUAACUGGAGACUUGCCAUUGAUACUGUUAGUCUUGAGUAUGGUUAAGGUAGGCGGAAUGUGUAAUGUAGCGGUGAAAUGCUUAGAUAUUACACAGAACACCAAUUGCGAAGGCAGCUUACUGAGCCAUAACUGACGCUGAUGCACGAAAGCGUGGGGAGCGAACAGGAUUAGAUACCCUUGUAGU
Molecule: ribosomal RNA, 270 nt
Filed under: uncultured bacterium
Lineage: Bacteria
Description: partial 16S ribosomal RNA
Rfam family: Bacterial small subunit ribosomal RNA
Source: RNAcentral